Molecule: ribosomal RNA, 620 nt
Filed under: uncultured bacterium
Lineage: Bacteria
Description: bacterial SSU rRNA
Rfam family: Bacterial small subunit ribosomal RNA
Source: RNAcentral
GUAACUGCUUUUAUAUGUGACGAAUAUGACGGUAGCAUAUGAAUAAGGAUCGGCUAACUCCGUGCCAGCAGCCGCGGUCAUACGGAGGAUCCAAGCGUUAUCCGGAAUUACUGGGCGUAAAGAGUUGCGUAGGUGGCAUGGUAAGUAGAUAGUGAAAGCGUGUGGCUCAACCAUACAUCCAUUAUCUAAACUGCCAAGCUAGAGUAUGAGAGAGGUAGAUGGAAUUCCCAGUGUAGGAGUGAAAUCCGUAGAUAUUGGGAGGAACACCGAUGGCGUAGGCAGUCUACUGGCUCAUUACUGACACUAAGGCACGAAAGCGUGGGGAGCAAACGGGAUUAGAUACCCCGGUAGUCCACGCCGUAAACUAUGGAUGCUAGCUGUUAGAAGUAUCGACCCUUCUAGUAGCGAAGCUAACGCGUUAAGCAUCCCGCCUGUGGAGUACGGUCGCAAGACUAAAACAUAAAGGAAUUGACGGGGACCCGCACAAGCGGUGGAGCGUGUUGUUUAAUUCGAUGGUAAGCGAAGAACCUUACCCAGGCUUGACAUCCUUGGAAGGCUUCCGAAAGGAAACUGUGCCCUCGGGAACCAAGUGACAGGUGAUGCAUGGCCGUCGUCAGCUA